Triticum urartu is the source of this 135-nucleotide non-coding RNA. Lineage: Eukaryota; Viridiplantae; Streptophyta; Magnoliopsida; Poales; Poaceae. The record is from Rfam.
AAUGUACUCCCUCCGUCCCAAUAUUCUUGUCGUAGAUUUGCCUAGAUACGGAUGUACCUAAUACUAAAACGUGAUUUGAUACAUCCGUAUUUAGACAAAUUUAGGACAAGAAUUUUGGGGCGGAGGGAGUAUUUA